AUUGAACGCUGGCGGCAGGCCUAACACAUGCAAGUCGAGCGGGGUUUCGGACCUAGCGGCGGACGGGUGAGUAAUGCGUAGGAAGCUACCCGAUAGAGGGGGAUACCAGUUGGAAACGACUGUUAAUACCGCAUAAUGUCUACGGACCAAAGUGUGGGACCUUCGGGCCACAUGCUAUCGGAUGCGCCUACGUGGGAUUAGCUAGUUGGUGAGGUAAUGGCUCACCAAGGCGACGAUCUCUAGCUGGUUUGAGAGGAUGAUCAGCCACACUGGAACUGAGACACGGUCCAGACUCCUACGGGAGGCAGCAGUGGGGAAUAUUGGACAAUGGGCGCAAGCCUGAUCCAGCCAUGCCGCGUGUGUGAAGAAGGCCUUCGGGUUGUAAAGCACUUUCAGCGAGGAGGAAGAGUUGUGUGUUAAUAGUACACAGCUUUGACGUUACUCGCAGAAGAAGCACCGGCUAACUCUGUG
Molecule: ribosomal RNA, 471 nt
Filed under: uncultured bacterium
Lineage: Bacteria
Description: bacterial SSU rRNA
Rfam family: Bacterial small subunit ribosomal RNA
Source: RNAcentral